This 446-nucleotide ribosomal RNA is filed under the name uncultured bacterium. RNAcentral's name for it is "partial 16S ribosomal RNA". It matches the Rfam family "Bacterial small subunit ribosomal RNA", at positions 338 to 795 of the family's 1533-position model. The record is from RNAcentral.
CCUACGGGUGGCAGCAGUCGAGAAUCAUUCACAAUGGGGGAAACCCUGAUGGUGCGACGCCGCGUGGGGGAGUGAAGGUCUUCGGAUUGUAAACCCCUGUCAUGUGGGAGCAAAUUAAAAAGAUAGUACCACAAGAGGAAGAGACGGCUAACGCAGUGCCAGCAGCCGCGGGAAUACAGAGGGCUCAAGCGUUGUUCGGAAUCACUGGGCGGAAAGGGUGCGUAGGCUGUUUUGGAAGUCGUGUUUGAAAGGCGCGGGCUUAACCCGCGGACGGCACAUGAUACUGCGAGACUAGAGUAAUGGAGGGGGAACCGGAAUUCUCGGUGUAGCAGUGAAAUGCGUAGAUAUCGGGAGGAACACUCGUGGCGAAGGCGGGUUCCUGGACAUUAACUGACGCUGAGGCACGAAGGCCAGGGGAGCGAAAGGGAUUAGAUACCCUUGUAGUC